AUUGAACGCUGGCGGCAUGCCUUACACAUGCAAGUCGAACGGCAGCAUGGAGGAGCUUGCUCCUCUGAUGGCGAGUGGCGAACGGGUGAGUAAAGCAUCGGAACGUACCGUGUAGUGGGGGAUAACGUAGCGAAAGUUACGCUAAUACCGCAUACGCACUGAGGUGGAAAGCAGGGGAUCGCAAGACCUUGCGCUAUACGAGCGGCCGAUGUCAGAUUAGCUAGUUGGUAGGGUAAAGGCCUACCAAGGCGACGAUCUGUAGCGGGUCUGAGAGGAUGAUCCGCCACACUGGGACUGAGACACGGCCCAGACUCCUACGGGAGGCAGCAGUGGGGAAUUUUGGACAAUGGGGAAACCCUGAUCCAGCCAUGCCGCGUGAGUGAAGAAGGCCUUCGGUU
This 398-nucleotide ribosomal RNA is filed under the name uncultured bacterium. RNAcentral's name for it is "bacterial SSU rRNA". It matches the Rfam family "Bacterial small subunit ribosomal RNA", at positions 30 to 423 of the family's 1533-position model. The record is from RNAcentral.